CCUGCCUCUAGAAUCCCUGCAGGUGUGGCUGCUGUGUCUCAUUUGCACCAGUAGGUGGCAGAGAGGAUACAUUCACCCUCAGCGCUCUGACCUAUGAAUAU
RNAcentral lists this small nucleolar RNA (101 nucleotides) under Mus spicilegus (steppe mouse). RNAcentral describes it as "Small nucleolar RNA SNORA17 (ENSMSIG00000006946.1)". It matches the Rfam family "Small nucleolar RNA SNORA17", at positions 1 to 108 of the family's 132-position model. From Rfam's summary of the family: snoRNA ACA 17 belongs to the H/ACA family of snoRNAs and is predicted to guide pseudouridylation of the 28S rRNA at positions U4659 and U4598. Lineage: Eukaryota; Metazoa; Chordata; Mammalia; Rodentia; Muridae. The record is from RNAcentral.